Molecule: non-coding RNA, 71 nt
Organism: Parelaphostrongylus tenuis
Lineage: Eukaryota; Metazoa; Nematoda; Chromadorea; Rhabditida; Metastrongylidae
Source: the annotation of a GenBank genome assembly
GCCUCGGUGGUGUAGUGGUAGCACGCGUCCCCGAUAUGGACGAAACUUGGGUUCAACUCCCAUCUAAAGUC